Molecule: long non-coding RNA, 340 nt
Organism: Bombus terrestris (buff-tailed bumblebee)
Lineage: Eukaryota; Metazoa; Arthropoda; Insecta; Hymenoptera; Apidae
Exons: 2
Source: RefSeq, a predicted model, not a curated record
CCUAGAAGAAAGAUUGGUGAUCGAUUCGCUUUGUAAAUAAAUAGCAACACAAUUUUAUUUGUGCUACUGGUCGCUUUAAUGGUGUGUAUCGUGAAAUCGAGGGUCAAGUAUACUCGAGGACGAUCGAUAGGUAACUGCUUGACAAACAAUAUUUCAGGAGUAUUAACGUUUCGCGAAUGACAUGUAGACUAAUCGAACGAUACAAUGAAGCUCGAACAAUAAUUACAGUCGAAACAGGAAAAGUUCUACAUAUGUAUUUACGUCAGACAUUUAUCAAAUGGUCAUGAACGAGAUCAUGAAACAAACUUGAGAAUAAGAACAAGGGACGAAGAAAUAGAAA